GUGGCAGCCGCCGCGGUAAUACGUAGGGUGCAAGCGUUAAUCGGAAUUACUGGGCGUAAAGCGUGCGCAGGCGGCUUGCUAAGACAGGUGUGAAAGCCCCGGGCUUAACCUGGGAAUUGCGCUUGUGACUGGCAGGCUGGAGUGUGGCAGAGGGAGGUGGAAUUCCACGUGUAGCAGUGAAAUGCGUAGAGAUGUGGAGGAACACCGAUGGCGAAGGCAGCCUCCUGGGCCAGCACUGACGCUCAUGCACGAAAGCGUGGGGAGCAAACAGGAUUAGAUACCCCAGUAGUCC
Molecule: ribosomal RNA, 292 nt
Filed under: uncultured bacterium
Lineage: Bacteria
Description: partial 16S ribosomal RNA
Rfam family: Bacterial small subunit ribosomal RNA
Source: RNAcentral